UGGGGAAUUUUGGACAAUGGGCGCAAGCCUGAUCCAGCCAUGCCGCGUGCGGGAAGAAGGCCUUCGGGUUGUAAACCGCUUUUGUCAGGGAAGAAAAGCCUUGGGUUAAUACCCUGGGGUGAUGACGGUACCUGAAGAAUAAGCACCGGCUAACUACGUGCCAGCAGCCGCGGUAAUACGUAGGGUGCAAGCGUUAAUCGGAAUUACUGGGCGUAAAGCGUGCGCAGGCGGUUGUGCAAGACAGGUGUGAAAUCCCCGGGCUUAACCUGGGAACUGCACUUGUGACUGCACGGCUUGAGUGCGGCAGAGGGGGAUGGAAUUCCGCGUGUAGCAGUGAAAUGCGUAGAUAUGCGGAGGAACACCGAUGGCGAAGGCAAUCCCCUGGGCCUGCACUGACGCU
This 400-nucleotide ribosomal RNA is filed under the name uncultured bacterium. Its description in RNAcentral is "bacterial SSU rRNA". It matches the Rfam family "Bacterial small subunit ribosomal RNA", at positions 355 to 747 of the family's 1533-position model. The record is from RNAcentral.